Molecule: ribosomal RNA, 419 nt
Filed under: uncultured bacterium
Lineage: Bacteria
Description: bacterial SSU rRNA
Rfam family: Bacterial small subunit ribosomal RNA
Source: RNAcentral
UGGGGAAUAUUGCACAAUGGGGGAAACCCUGAUGCAGCAACGCCGCGUGAAGGAAGACGGUUUUCGGAUUGUAAACUUCUUUUCUUAGUGAAGAAACAAAUGACGGUAGCUAAGGAAUAAGCAUCGGCUAACUACGUGCCAGCAGCCGCGGUAAUACGUAGGAUGCGAGCGUUAUCCGGAAUUACUGGGUGUAAAGGGAGCGCAGGCGGGACUGCAAGUUGGAUGUGAAAUGCCGCAGCUUAACUGCGGAGCUGCAUCCAAAACUGUAGUUCUUGAGUGGAGUAGAGGCAAGCGGAAUUUCCGAGUGUAGCGGUGAAAUGCGUAGAUAUUCGGAGGAACACCAGUGGCGAAGGCGGCUUGCUGGGCUCUAACUGACGCUGAGGCUCGAAAGUGUGGGGAGCAAACAGGAUUAGAUACCC